This 439-nucleotide ribosomal RNA is filed under the name Micromonospora zamorensis. RNAcentral describes it as "bacterial SSU rRNA". It matches the Rfam family "Bacterial small subunit ribosomal RNA", at positions 482 to 918 of the family's 1533-position model. The record is from RNAcentral. Lineage: Bacteria; Bacillati; Actinomycetota; Actinomycetes; Micromonosporales; Micromonosporaceae.
CAGAAGAAGCACCGGCCAACUACGUGCCAGCAGCCGCGGUAAGACGUAGGGUGCGAGCGUUGUCCGGAUUUAUUGGGCGUAAAGAGCUCGUAGGCGGCUUGUCGCGUCGACCGUGAAAACUUGGGGCUCAACCCCAAGCCUGCGGUCGAUACGGGCAGGCUAGAGUUCGGUAGGGGAGACUGGAAUUCCUGGUGUAGCGGUGAAAUGCGCAGAUAUCAGGAGGAACACCGGUGGCGAAGGCGGGUCUCUGGGCCGAUACUGACGCUGAGGAGCGAAAGCGUGGGGAGCGAACAGGAUUAGAUACCCUGGUAGUCCACGCUGUAAACGUUGGGCGCUAGGUGUGGGGGACCUCUCCGGUUUCCUGUGCCGCAGCUAACGCAUUAAGCGCCCCGCCUGGGGAGUACGGCCGCAAGGCUAAAACUCAAAGGAAUUGACGGGG